This 428-nucleotide ribosomal RNA is filed under the name uncultured Bacillota bacterium. RNAcentral's name for it is "bacterial SSU rRNA". It matches the Rfam family "Bacterial small subunit ribosomal RNA", at positions 958 to 1385 of the family's 1533-position model. Lineage: Bacteria; Bacillati; Bacillota. The record is from RNAcentral.
AACGCGAAGAACCUUACCAGGUCUUGACAUCCUCUGACAAUCCUAGAGAUAGGACUUUCCCCUUCGGGGGACAGAGUGACAGGUGGUGCAUGGUUGUCGUCAGCUCGUGUCGUGAGAUGUUGGGUUAAGUCCCGCAACGAGCGCAACCCUUGUCCUUAGUUGCCAGCAUUAGGUUGGGCACUCUAAGGAGACUGCCGGUGACAAACCGGAGGAAGGUGGGGAUGACGUCAAAUCAUCAUGCCCCUUAUGACCUGGGCUACACACGUGCUACAAUGGAUGGUACAAAGGGCUGCGAGACCGCGAGGUUUAGCCAAUCCCAUAAAACCAUUCUCAGUUCGGAUUGUAGGCUGCAACUCGCCUACAUGAAGCCGGAAUCGCUAGUAAUCGUGGAUCAGCAUGCCACGGUGAAUACGUUCCCGGGCCUUGUA